Molecule: long non-coding RNA, 3427 nt
Organism: Culex pipiens pallens (northern house mosquito)
Lineage: Eukaryota; Metazoa; Arthropoda; Insecta; Diptera; Culicidae
Exons: 4
Source: RefSeq, a predicted model, not a curated record
CAUUCUGGUGUGAAAUAAUUGCUUCGUAACUUUUUACAUCAUUAUGCUGUCUACUUUGUUUAUGCAUGCAUACGCGAAUCAGGCGGCGAACGCGGCGGAGCCUUUUCUGGGCCGCUCCCGGGCCCAGGUCUCGGGCCCUGGUGAGCCUGGUCCCAGAGGGUACCGAGAUUACCCCGUAAGUGUUGACCACCCCGAGCACCGUGGUGCAGUGUUUACCAAAGGACUAUACUAGUGCAGCAAGCGGAAUUUGGUGACGAUGGACGUGGACGUCGAGAUCAAGCGUAAUGAGCCAGGAAACCUGGUCCUGACACUGUGCUGUACAAAGUGACGACUUCGUGAUGUCCGCGUGAAGAUCUUGAAGAAGCGGUGUGCGAACAAAUCUGUCCUGUCCUGAGUGGUGAUAACAAGUGGUGCCGUUGAUGUUGUGCCAGCCAGUGACCGUUUCUUCGGGGGUCAGCUGAAGAGCUUGUUGUUUAUUUCCGGCUGAGGGUUGGACUGCACUGUGAAGGGGUUGUGCGUGUGCGAAGAGGCCGACCCCUCGACACGGUGGACUGUUGUGAUGUCGACCCAAGAACCAGUCAGUCAGUCAGUCAAGUGGUGAAGCAGUAGCAGAAGAAGAAAACCAUGUUCACCGAGAAGAGCAGGGUGCGAGUGUGCGAAAGGAUUGACCAAAACAAACAUCGGACGUUUCGUCCGUCAUCCUGGACGAAAAAAGGACACACGAAGCCAGUCUGCCGAAAACCAACAAGCUUGUGAACCUUUUUUCCCGCGUGUCCUCGUGCGUCAGCUUUUGUCGUCACCGCGUUCAGAUUUUCGAAAUGAUGAACCACGCGCCGUACUAGAACUUCGGGUUGAAUUUUCCCGCCGCACCAGGCCAGGUGUGUUUUUGAGCGAAAUGUGGUGAAUCUGCAUUGUUCAAGGCUUAUUAUUCUAAAGAGGAUUAAGUUUCUCCUAGAAAACAGCUCUUCAAUAAAAAUAUUCCAGGUUCCCAACGAACCAGCAUCAACAACAUCAGCGUAACCACCAGUUUAGCAAUCACGACAGGACAGGAUGGAUCAACUGCUAGUUGACGACGCAGCACAACUCCCGGAACAAAAUCUGCACAAACCCCGCAUCACAUCAGGACGGACAAAGAAGAAACGGAGUCGCCACAAACGAUGAAAACACUUGCAAAAAAACAUGAUCAAGCGCAAAAAAACAUGAUCAAGCAACAAAACCAAAGGAAAUGGCAACAGCAACAAGCAGGACAGGAAAACAACUCGCAAGAAACAUCACACAAGAUGAAAAGACGAAGAAGAAGAAAAAUGCAACAAUUAAGUUCCUACUCUAAAACAUAGAUAAAAAUAUACGUUAUAAACGAGAGUGUAAUGUAAUUGUAAUCUUAGGUCGCUACGAAGGAGACACGGACGGAAGUUUUCACUGGGGCACGGCCAAAACCUCCGCCACUGUUUUGGGCAGUAAAACUGUAAAGUUAAGAGACUGAUGCGCUGCGCGGUGGAGCCCAAACUGUCUUUACUCGCAACUUGCUCGUCAAAUCCAGAACGAUUCGUUACCGGCAGAACCAGCAAACUGGCAACACUUCCUGUGUCCACCUGUUUUCUUCGCUGCAGCGACCUUCACCGGAGAAGUGUCGUUCUGUAUGCAGUUGAGGGGUGUGGGAGGAGCACUGAUGGAAGCGUUGCCAGAUUAGUGGGGGGGGUGCGCGGUCUGAUGGAUUGGUUUUGAUUUGACAGGUGAGUGAGGGGAUGAGGGAUCGGGUGAAACCAGUGGCGCCAGUUUUGCACCUCGCUUGCUCCCACUUUGGGGAGGAUGGACUGUGCGGUGGGAGACUUCCGGUUAAGGAUUAAAACUACUUGUAAAAUUUAACAAUUGCAAAGAAAGUAACACUGUAUAACUUGUCGACGAAAUAUGAGCAAAACACAAGUCAUCUACUGUAUUUUGAAGUGAGUGAAAGCAGUAAAUUUUAUAAAGCAAGAACAGUUCAUAAGGGCAAUGUGUAAUUUUUGUUUGUUUCUAUACUGUUAGAAGAGUUUUCUUUUGUAUCGGUGUACUUCUUGAGUGCAAAGCUUGGUUGAGUAGGGUUAAAAUGAACCCAAAAUUAGUCAUUUAAUGCGAUUUUUGGUGCCGGGUUGUAGAAAGCAUUGUCUCGUAACAUAUUAUACUCAAAUGAAGAGUAACUCCUAGUAUUAACUGAUGAUACUUAAUGUAGUUGGCUUAAAGCUUUAUUUUAAAUAAAACCAAAAAAAUACAAAAAAAAUAUUAAAAUGAAGAAAAUCCCAAAAAAAAAGAGUGCAUAGAUGGAAGUUAACCAAUUUAGUUCAGCGAGAACUCAGUCGCUUAGUGUACUUUUCAACGUGCAAUGUUCAUAUGCAGAAAAUGUAUUGAUCAAAACAAUACGAUUGCGAGGUAUCAACAACAAAAUCGAUCAAGGAUUAUGCAAUGGUAAAACUCAAGCUCUUUUCCUGAAGUCGACAGGGGAAGCGUUUCAAGUUUUGCUCAACAAGCAAUUAUCUUAAAAAUAUUUAUCUUUAGCAUGUACCAAAACAUUUGCGAGUAAAAAAACACAGUGUAUGAUAAAAAAUAAAGUUCCUAAAGAGCCGUCCCUCCCUCCAAACAGAGUGCGUGGACGUUAGGGGCGGCUAAACUACUAAUCUUAGUGUUAUAUAGAGUCGAACCCGUGUAGUUGAGAAAAAACUUAAGGCACCAAAAUAUCGCUCAUAACACUCGCAGAACAUUUGUUCCUCUUAAGAAAAGAAAGCAUUAUAAAUCAUUCCCAGCCAAACUUUGCAUUUUCGAUGACCACCCAGCACGAUUAUUCGUUUUCCAAAUCAAGCUUCUUGAUAUCAUGUGACAUGAAACUCGCAUUCCUAAAGGCAAACACGGUAUAUUUAAAUGAAACAAUCAUUAAAUGGGAGUACCAAUUGGCUUGACUUUCGCGAUAGUUUGGUCGCAAGAUUCGUUAAUUUUUGGACUAAAGGUGAAAAAUCAGAACAAAGUACUCGCGUGAACAACAAUAAUAGAGUUUAGAGAUGAAUCCGGAAGAACUAAGAAAAAAAACAAGUAUCGAGAGUGAAAAAUUACACAGAUCCAAAAACAAACAUUUUGUUCCUAUGAAAAUGAGAGAAAAAACACACGCAAAAUUGCUGAAAGAUAAAAAAUGAGAGAACUAACGAAAAGACUCGACAUAUCAUGAAUGUUUAAUUUUGUCCUCGCAAAAAGUUUUUAAAGAACGACCCACACCAAAAGAAUGCACCCGCAGACUACGGUCGAAUACAGUUGCGCGCGAAUGAGCUGCAGUUUUAACAGAAAAGAAUCACUCAUUAACUUAUACUUACCUACUACCACUACUUACUACUAAUAAUAGAAUGGCAGCAACAAAACUGGAUAUUCAUAUAUACUCGAUGUUUCAGCUAAUGUCCACCAGAUG